Molecule: long non-coding RNA, 614 nt
Organism: Hermetia illucens (black soldier fly)
Lineage: Eukaryota; Metazoa; Arthropoda; Insecta; Diptera; Stratiomyidae
Exons: 3
Source: RefSeq, a predicted model, not a curated record
UGAUUCCCCCCGACUGUUAUCCUGUUUGCUGUUAGGUGAACUUCCUCAAUAUUUUUCAGUGGACGUUACUUUUGAUGUCGGGCUGUGCAAAUAUUUAAACAGGAGAAUACAACAAUACAACACAGGAGAGCGGCGCGACCAGACAAGGAAAUGCUAGACAAAAGGGAUCCUUUUUGUUAUAACGCCGCGCCAUUUCAGCCAGGUUGCGCUAAUUUGUGAAAUGACUUCAUGGGGAGUUUCCAAGCCAUGGCAAACAUUUCCAAACAGAAUGGUGGUUUUUCGGGUGCGUUAAUUUUAGUAAAAGAUUCCAGAAAAGUGCAGUGAUGUAUCCGGGAAGGCAGUCUGGAAAAAGCGGUGUCUCAUGAACAGACCCGUUAACAGGCAUUUCCAGUGCAUUCGACGAUUGGCGGAGAACCCAAAGCAGGGAAGCAACGAGUUCGUCUAAUGAAGUUCCUACGAACCUUAUAUAACUUCCAGAACGAGGAAGAAUUUGAAUGAUGAUCGUCGUCGGUGGUAGCAGUAUUCAUGAACGACCGAAACAGACAAUCCAAAGCAGGAGAUAAGGUCAGACGUUUUAAUUUUUCUAGAAAUAUCGCUCUAGGUAUAAAAUCAGG